RNAcentral lists this long non-coding RNA (5572 nucleotides) under Homo sapiens (human). RNAcentral describes it as "HSALNT0001349". Lineage: Eukaryota; Metazoa; Chordata; Mammalia; Primates; Hominidae. The record is from RNAcentral.
UAAAUAUUUACUAUAUCUGGCCCUUUACAGAAAAAGACUGCCAACAGCAAACAUCUCCAGCCUUCUCCAGAUCACAACUUAAGAGGAAUGUCAUGUGCAUGAGGCUAAGGAGUGUGGGCUGGCUUGAGAUGGAAAAGGGGAUUAUGACUGCUAUCCACCCUAUACUACAUAUUAAGAAAAUGAAAUUAUGGGAACUCAUGGGAAGAAAGAAUGACAGAUGCAGCUGAUUCCUCCCAUAUGAUGGUUCACAUCAGGCUUUUCCAAAGACUGAAUGAAGAGCUCUAAGGUUUUCUUUCAGGUGCAGUAUCAUGAAGAAACUCAGGCAGCCCUAUGAAGAGGUUCCAUGUGCAAGGAACUGAAGCUUCUGCCAACAGCCAGCAAGAACUCUGCCAACCUUGUGAAUGCACUAUGUUGCAAUUGGAUCCUCCAGGCCCUAUCAAGCCUUCAGUUGACUGCAACCUGAGAAGGGACCUCAAGCCACUCCUAAAUUCCUGACCCACAAAAGGUGUGUGGGAUAACAAAUGCUGAAUGUUGUUUUAAGCAGCAGUUUGGAGGUAUUUUGUUACAUAUAUCAUAUAGGAGCUUAAUCUAAAAUAUGUAUGUGGCUGGGCACGGUGGCUCACGCCUAUAAUCCCAGCACUGAGGCAGGCUGGAUCACCUGAGGUCAGGAGUUCCAAACCAGCCUGGCCAACAGGGUGAAACCCCAUCUCUACUAAAAGACACAAAAAUUAGCCAUGCAUGGUGGUGGGUGCCUGUAAUCCCAGCUACUCUACUCGGGAGGCUGAUGCAGGAGAAUUGCUUGAACCCAGAGGUGGAGGUUGCAGUCAGCCGAAAUCGUGCCACUGCACUCCAGUCUAGGCAAAAAGGUGAGACUCCGUCUCAAAAAUUAAAAUAAAAUAAAAUAAAAUGCAUAUAAUAUAACUGUUAUUGUUGACCCUUCUUGCCUUUACUUUGAUACAGCUGGAGAAGUCCUGAAAAUGUGUCCAAAUUCAUUACAAGGUGAAGAUCAAUUUAAAGAACUCCUCCACAUUUCUCAAAGUAUUAUAUUAAUAAUGAAUUAUAUCAUUUCUUCAGGACAUAAAGGAUUUGGGGUGGGAGGAGAAGGGAAAGGAAGGAAGUGGAAACGAGAUUUUCAUCAUCUUCCCUAAGCCAUUGCUGGUCAUCCUAGAGUAGAAAUCUGAGAGUUUCACUUUAUUGCUUAAAAUCCUUUAAUAUUAUAGUUUCCCAAAGCUUAUGGAAGUGAAUCCAGACACUGCUCAUUGUCUGCACUACAUCUACCAAGCAGGCUCAUGAGGCAGCACAAGGGGUGCACACAAACAUGGGCUGACUUUGCAAGACCUUGGAUAAGUUACUUAAUCUCCCUGCCUCGGUCUGCUCAACAGUAAAAUGAAGGUAAUUAUACUACCAAUAUAGUUACUAUAGGGAAUUAAUACAUUAAAACAUAAAAAACACUUAAAAGAGGACGUUGCCUAAGUGCUCAAUAAAUGUCAGCUAUCAUCAUCAUCUGCCAUUGCAUCUCUCAUAACCCAGACUAUUUCAAGCCAUUAUGAACUACUGGAAUUUUCAAACUCACCAACACUGUUUUAUGCUUUUGCACCUUAGAAAAGGGACUUUCUCUGUCUGGAAUGGCCUUCCUUCACUUCUCUCUCAAUUAUCCUUCUCAACUUCCUUAUAUAGCCUUCUCUGAUUUCCCUUUUACUUACCGCAUCCCUCAUAGACACACCUACAGAGAAUAUUUAAAUUAUUUAUUAUUUGCCUCUCCCACAAAAUUGUAUGCUUGAUAAUAAUACUUGAUACUUAUUGUGUCAAGUACUGUGUGCCAGCCACUGUUUUAUAUUAAGCACUUUACUUAGACUAUCUAACUUAAACUUCUUAAUAACUCAUAAUUAUCCUAGUUUUAUUGACAGUAAAAUCUAUAACAUAUAUAAAUAAAGAAUAAGAAUUCAAACCUUAGCUGUUUGGCUGCAAUUUGUUACAAUCUAAAAUCUAAGGACUAGGAGGUGGAGAUUUCUGACAUGCUGAAAAUAUCAAGGAAGCAAUUAAACCUUCCAGCAGUUAGCAUAAGUGCACACAGUUUAAAAAUUUAUAAUAUAUAUGCAUGGUACUGUAGGUGGGCUACCCCACACCCCCAGUCAUAUCAGCUUCUUGCUUAUACUUUCUGGAGAUAUUUCAUGCAUAUACAGCAUGCACACACAUAUAUGUACAUCUCUUUGUUACACAAAUAGUAGUAUACUUCAUAUAGCCUUCUGAGCCCAUUUUUACUUCCUGUAUCUUUGAGAUUGUUCCGUGUCAGUCCAUACAAAGUGCCUCAUUCUUUUUCACUGCUGCAGAGAAUUCCACCAUAUUCCAUAAUAAUAUGGUUUGGACUUGUGUCCCCACCCAAAUCUCAUGUCAAAUUGUAAUCCCCAGUGUUGGAGGUGGGGCCCGGUGGGAGGUGAUUGGAUCACGGGGCGGUUUCUCAUGAAUGGUUUAGCACCAUCCCCUCGGUGCGAAGUUCCCAUGAGAUCUGGUCGUUUAAAUUGUAUAGCACCUUCCGCCUCUCUUCCUCCUACUCCAGCCAUGUGAAGAUGCCUGCUCCAGCUCUGCCUUCCACCGUGAGUAAAAGCUCCCUGAGGCCUCCCCAGCCUUGCUUCCUGUACAGCCUGCAGUACUGUGAGCUAACUAAACCUCUUUCCUUUAUAAAUUGCCCAGUCUUCAGUAUUUAUAGCAAUGCAAGAACAGACUAUUAUAUUUACCAUAUUCAACCACUCUCCUAUAUUGUUUGUAGCCUUUUGUUGUAAUAUAAAAUCCUAAAGCAAAAUCCUUAUACACAAAGAAAUGGAUAGAGGAUGAUUCUACAGUAAAUAUGGUAAAUGUAUACGCUAUAGCAAAUAUAGUAAAAUGCAACUGUAGAAUCUAAACGGUGAGUGCAGGGGUGCUCUCACUAUCAUAAUUCCUGCAAUUGUUCUGCAUUUAAACCAUCAGUUUGUUUGUUUGUUUGUUUGUUUGUUUGUUUUUUGGAGACAGAGUCUUGCUCUGUUGCCCAGGCUGGAGUGCAGUGGCACAAUCUUGGCUCACUGCAAGGUCCGCCUCCUGGGUUCAUGCCAUUCUCCUGCCUCAGCCUCUUGAGUAGCUGGGACUACAGGCGCCCGCCACCACGCCUGGCUAAUUUUUUGUAUUUUUUAGUAGAGACGGGGUUUCACCGUCUUAACCAGGAUGGUCUCAAUCUCCUGACCUCGUGAUCCACCCACCUCGGCCUCCCAAAGUGCUUGGAUUACAGGUGUGAGCCACCGCGCCCGGCCUAUACUUGUUCUUAAAGUGAGCAUCAUGUUUUUCUUUCAACUUCUCAAUAAAUUGCUAAUAUGAAAUAUUUUAUCAACUUCAAAACAAUCCCCAAAUUUCAAAAAUAUAAUAAUCUUGGAAUGUUUGUUACCCUUGGCUUAUAUCAUAGAAGAACAGAGGAGGCAAUUAUCAGAAGAGUCACAUUUCAACUUCCAUCAUUUUACCCAAGGGACAGUCAAGUAAAGUAAAACUGCCCUAAGUGUCUUAUUUUCUUGGGUCUCUCAACACUCUUUUAGGCAAACACUUGGUCUUCACCAAGAACAAAGAGUUAUAGGUGUCUGUUACCUCUAGGAGAAGCAAGGGGGAAAAAAAAAAAAAAAAAAAAAAAACUAAAACCUUUGGAGAGUCAUUGUUUGACAUCUUCCUUCUCAGCUUCCUUCUUAUAUAAUUCCCAGGAGUCCUAGCCAAUAAAGAAUGGUUUAACUCUUCUUUCUGAAAAAAACAAAUGAUUAUCUUUCUUUAGAAAAUGUAUUCCUCUUUCCUCUGAAGACUCAGAAGCAGACCUUUCAGGAGAAUUUCUGGAUUAGAGUGUGCCAUUUCAGCCAAGGGACUUCCUCUACCAGGGUCCAAAGAUAACACAUUCUAAUGAAUGCUUGCUGGACUGUUUCCUUUUUUUUUCUGACAAUUUGAAGGUCUUCAAUGAAAGCAUGCCAGUAUUACCACAGACUUAUCUUAGGGCAGUGCUUUGGUAAACCAAAUUCAGAAGCUUUAGAAAAGACUAGAAACUAAUAAGUCAGCUAUACAUCCACUUAGAGUUUGCCAGACAGAGAAAAAGGAAAAUAACAUUCCAGUCACAAAGAAUAAAUCACAGAGGGCUUUAAGGCUUAAUUGCCACGUUUUCCCUCCAAAAGAAUCAAAAGUUUAUCACACUUGUUUCCUAAAUCUCCAAAAAUGUGAGUUAUUGAGAGAAGAGUCAUACAAUUUUUAGGAAUUUCCAUUUCUUCCGUUGUCGAACCUUUGAAAAACAAUUGCAAGUUGAAGAGAACUCACAUGACCCAGAAACUGUUCUGAGCUCUAUCAAUGUUCAGGAAGCAGAAUUUUUUUUUUUUUUAACUUUUUAAACUCUUUUUGUAGAGACAGGAUUUCCCUAUGUUGCCUAGGCUGGUCUCCAACUCCUGGGCUCAAGUGAUCCUCCUGCCUUGGCCUCCCAAAGUGCUAAGAUAACAGGUGUGAGCCACCACACGUGGCUGGAAAAAAAUGUUUUCAUCCAGAGAGUAAAACUCAAUGAAGUGGCACAGCACGCAGUACAUUUCAACUUUCCCCUCUUAAAGAUUUCAGCCUACACACUCCAAUUUCACACUCAAUGAAAGCUUAAGCAAAAUGUUAGCAUAAAUCAAAGUUUUAAAUCAUUUUAGAUUGUUAACUAGCAAAUGUCCUGCAGAAAUUUUAAAACUCACUAAAUAAAUUAUAAAUCUAGUUAUGAGAACAAAGCACACUGUGGAAUAUAAGGAUGCAGAAUAAACAGCUAUUCAGAAAGUGUGUCCAAUUUUUGUCCCACCCCUAAGUCAAGAGGCAAACCAUGACCCCGCUGUGGGACUGGGCUGUCAAGCACUCUCCCUCCUCUGCUAACGCUGUUGCCUCUGUUCAGAAGACCUUCCCUGCCCUCUCUUCACGGGGCAAACCUACACCUCUCCUCCAAGAUCCAGCUGAGCCUUUACCUCCUCUGUGGCCCCUGAUCAGAAUCCCCAAGGCAGAAGUUUUUGGAGCUUUAUUCGUGCCUUUCUUUUGUUGUUGUUCUUUUUUUUUAUUUUUUUGAGAUGGAGUCUCGCUCUGUCACUCAGGCUGGAGUGCAGUGGUGUGAACUUGGCUCACUGCAACCUCUGCCUCCCUGGUUCAAGUGAUUCUCCUGGGCUGGUCUCAAACUCCUGACCUCAAACAAUCCUCCUGCCUCAGCCUCCCAAAGUGCUGGGAUUACAGGCAUGAGCCACCACACCCAGCCUAUUCACGCCUUUCUGACACCUACCACUCACUAUAACACACUUAACAAGCCUCUUCCCAUUCCCCACCCCUCAAGGCAGAGCCUGCAGCCCUGGUCAUCCUCUAUCCCUGACACCCACCACAUUGCCCAGCAGACAACAGCACAGUCAGUAGUCCCAUUUACUAAGGACUUACGUGCCAGACACUAUGCUCAGUGCUUUAUAUAAUAUCAACUCAUUUCACCUUCACAAAAACCAUAUGAAUAAUAUAAUAAUAAACUAUAGUAUCCCUCCAAUCAGUCUUCCCCAGCCUCCUUAGGAGGUUCCUUUUCAUG